This 275-nucleotide ribosomal RNA is filed under the name uncultured bacterium. RNAcentral's name for it is "partial 16S ribosomal RNA". It matches the Rfam family "Bacterial small subunit ribosomal RNA", at positions 79 to 353 of the family's 1533-position model. The record is from RNAcentral.
CUAAGUUUGAUGGCGACCGGCACACGGGUGAGUAACACGUAUCCAACCUGCCGAUGACUCGGGGAUAGCCUUUCGAAAGAAAGAUUAAUACCCGAUGGCAUAGUUCUUCCGCAUGGUAGAACUAUUAAAGAAUUUCGGUCAUCGAUGGGGAUGCGUUCCAUUAGGUUGUUGGCGGGGUAACGGCCCACCAAGCCUUCGAUGGAUAGGGGUUCUGAGAGGAAGGUCCCCCACAUUGGAACUGAGACACGGUCCAAACUCCUACGGGAGGCAGCAUG